This 70-nucleotide transfer RNA is filed under the name Camelus bactrianus (Bactrian camel). It matches the Rfam family "tRNA". Rfam says of the family: Transfer RNA (tRNA) molecules are approximately 80 nucleotides in length. Their secondary structure includes four short double-helical elements and three loops (D, anti-codon, and T loops). Further hydrogen bonds mediate the characteristic L-shaped molecular structure. tRNAs have two regions of fundamental functional importance: the anti-codon, which is responsible for specific mRNA codon recognition, and the 3' end, to which the tRNAs corresponding amino acid is attached (by aminoacyl-tRNA synthetases). tRNAs cope with the degeneracy of the genetic code in two manners: having more than one tRNA (with a specific anti-codon) for a particular amino acid; and 'wobble' base-pairing, i.e. permitting non-standard base-pairing at the 3rd anti-codon position. RNAcentral also lists the same sequence under 3 other names. The record is from Rfam by way of RNAcentral. Lineage: Eukaryota; Metazoa; Chordata; Mammalia; Artiodactyla; Camelidae.
GGAAAUAGCUCAGUGGUAGAACACAUGCUUAGCAUGCACGAGGUCCUGGGUUCAAUCCUCAGUAAAUCCA